GAUGAACGCUGGCGGCGUGCCUAAUACAUGCAAGUCGAGCGAACAGACGAUGAUCUUGCGCCGUGGACGUUAGCGGCAGACGUGUGAGUAACACGUGUAUAACCUACCUAUCAUACUGGUAAAACCUCGGGAAACCGGCGCUUAUACCGUAGAAUAUAUUGAACCGCAGUGGUCGAUAGUAAGAUUCGGUUGUUCGGUCACGUAUCGAUGGUUCUGGGCUGCAUUGGCUAGUUGUUGAGUUAAAGGCUUAGGAAGGCUACGAGGCGUAUGCGACCUGAGGGGGUGAUAGCCCACACUGGAACUGAGACGCGGUCAAGACUCCUGCGGGAGGGAGCAGUAGGGAAUCUUACGCAAUGGGCGAAAGCAUGACGGAGCAACGCCGAGUGAGUGAUGGAAGUCUUGGGAUCGUAAUGCUGUGUUACUAGGGAAGAACAAAUGUGUAAGUAAAUAUGGACGUAUUGACGGUAACUAAUAAGAAAGCCACGGCUAACUACGUG
RNAcentral lists this ribosomal RNA (497 nucleotides) under uncultured bacterium. Its description in RNAcentral is "partial 16S ribosomal RNA". It matches the Rfam family "Bacterial small subunit ribosomal RNA", at positions 28 to 507 of the family's 1533-position model. The record is from RNAcentral.